CCUACGGGAGGCAGCAGUGGGGAAUAUUGGGCAAUGGGCGCAAGCCUGAACCAGCAACGCCGCGUGAAGGAAGACGGCCCUCGGGUUGUAAACUUCCUUUAUUCGGGGCGAAACAAAUGACGGUACCGAAUGAAUAAGCCAAGGCUAACUACAUGCCAGCGGCCGCGGUAAUACGGAGGUGGCAAGCGUUAUCCGGAUUUACUGGGUGUACAGGGGGUGUAGGCGGGAGAGUAAGUCAGACGUGAAAUUUCAGGGCUCAACCCUGGAACUGCGUUUGAAGCUGUUCUUCUUGAGUGAUGGAGAGGUAGGCGGAAUUCGGGGUGUAGCGGUGAAAUGCGUAGAUAUACGGAGGAACACCAGUGGCGAAGGCGGCCUGCUGGACAUUAACUGACGCUGAUGCGCGAAAGCGUGGGGAGCAAACAGGAUUAGAUACCCUUGUAGUC
RNAcentral lists this ribosomal RNA (443 nucleotides) under uncultured bacterium. RNAcentral describes it as "partial 16S ribosomal RNA". It matches the Rfam family "Bacterial small subunit ribosomal RNA", at positions 338 to 795 of the family's 1533-position model. The record is from RNAcentral.